AGAGUUUGAUCCUGGUUCAGAACGAACGCUGGCGGCGUGCUUAAUAUAUGCAAGUUGAACGAGAAUGGUUUUUUUUGGAGAACCUAUUAAAGUGGUGCAUGGGUGAGUAACAUGUAGAUAAUCUACCUAUGGUGUCUGGGAUAACUGACCGAAAGGUUAGCUAAUACCUGAUACGUUCACGAUUUCGUAAGAUAACGUGAAGAAAGAUGGCCUCUUUUUGAAAGCUAUCGCACCUAGAUGAGUUUGCGUACCAUUAGCUAGUUGGUGGGGUAAGAGCCUACCAAGGCUAUGAUGGUUAGUGGGUCUGAGAGGAUGAUCCGCCAUAUUGGAAUUGGAAUAUGGACCAGAUUUUUAUGGGAGGUAGUAGUGAGGAAUUUUGCGCAAUGGGGGAAACCCUGAUGUAGCGACGCCGCGUGGACGAUGAAGGCCUUAGGGUUGUAAAGUCCUGUCAGUAGGGAAGAAAUGUAUAAUGGCUAAUACCCAUUAUAUUUGACGGUACCUACAAAGGAAGCACCGGUUAACUCCGUGUAAGUAGUUGUGGUAAUACGGAGGGUGCAAGCGUUGUUCGGAAUUACUGGGCGUAAAGGGCGCGUAGGCGGCCUGAUAAGUCAGAUGUGAAAGUCCACGGUUUGACCGUGGAAGUGCAUCUGAAACUAUCAAGCUUGAGUAUGGGAGAGGAAAGUGGAAUUCCCGGUGUAGAGGUGAAAUUUGUAGAUAUCGGGAGGAAUAUUAGUGGUGAAGGUGACUUUCUGGACCAAUACUGACGCUGAGGCGCGAAAGCGUGGGGAGUAAAUAGGAUUAGAUAUCCUGGUAGUCCACAGCUGUAAACGAUGUCAACUAGGUGUUGGGGGUGUUGAUUCCUCCAGCGCCGUAGUUAAUGUAUUAAGUUGACCGCCUGGGGAGUAUGGUUGUAAGAUUAAAACUCAAAGGAAUUGACGGGGGCCCGCACAAGCGGUGGAGUAUGUGGUUUAAUUUGAUGCAAUGUGCAGAAUUUUACCUGGUCUUGAUAUCCCGAGAAUAUCUAAGAAAUUAGAAGGUGCUUCCUUUUGGAAGAACUCGGUGAUAGGUGCUGUAUGGCUGUCGUCAGUAUGUGUUGUGAGAUGUUGGGUUAAGUCCCGUAAUGAGUGCAACCCACGUCUUUAGUUGCCAUUAUUAAGUUGGGCAUUCUAGAGAGACUGCCGGUGUUAAACCGGAGGAAGGUGUGGAUGACGUCAAGUCCUUAUGGCCUUUAUGACCAGGGUUAUACACGUACUACAAUGGCAUGUAUAAAGGGUAGUUAAUUUGUGAGAGUAUGUUAAUUCCAUAAAGCAUGUCUCAGUUUGGAUUGGAGUCUGUAAUUUGACUCCAUGAAGCUGGAAUCGCUAGUAAUCGUGGAUAGUAUGCCACGGUGAAUAUGUUUUCGGGCCUUGUAUAUAUUGCCCGUCACACCACGAAAGUCGGUUGUACCAGAAGUA
RNAcentral lists this ribosomal RNA (1454 nucleotides) under metagenome. Its description in RNAcentral is "bacterial SSU rRNA". It matches the Rfam family "Bacterial small subunit ribosomal RNA". The record is from RNAcentral.